RNAcentral lists this long non-coding RNA (24885 nucleotides) under Prunus persica (peach). RNAcentral's name for it is "long non-coding RNA (PPER_LNC002796)". The record is from RNAcentral. Lineage: Eukaryota; Viridiplantae; Streptophyta; Magnoliopsida; Rosales; Rosaceae.
GACAGAUGGUUCUCAGUUGGAACAUCUAGGCCCAGGAGAUUUUUAUGGAGAGGAACUUCUAGUUUCCCCAUUGUGGACCUCCUCUAGUGAUGCAAAACCCAUAAACCAGUCUGUUCAGGCCAUUGAUGAUGUUCAAGCCCUUGUUCUCUUUGUCACAGACAUGGCGACCUUGAGCUUUAGUUCCAGGCGGUAUAUCAACGAGUUGCGCAUGGUGGUAACUAUUCUUCAGAAAGUAAGCUCCUCUCUAUUUAGAAGAUAUAUAAAAGAUGAAUAACUGGAUUCGCACCUUCCAUCCUAACUAGCUACUAAUAUACAAUGAUGUUACUUAUUUAAUUUAUAUAAUGUUCUCUUUAUGUUUGAGAAAUUAAUAAUGUGUCAAAUCCUAGGUGCCAAAACUUCAAACUAUGGAUAAACAAGUAUUGAAAGCAAUGUCUCAUCAUCUUUCUCCGGUUAGCUAUAAACGCGACGACUAUAUUGUUCGAGAGAACCAACCAGUUAGUAGGAUGUUCUUCGUCACGAGGGGAGAGGUAACAAAAAAUGAGAACCCUCUGGAAGCAAAUUUUAUUGGAGAAGAACUUCUUGAGUGGGUAUUGGAUAAGUCUUUUCCUACCAUAUUACCCUUGUCGACCUGCACUGUUAGAGUAGUCUCAAAUGAUGCCGAAGUCCUCAUUUUGAAGGCCAGGAUGUUGAAGAAUGUAGUCUCUAAGUUCAUGAAGCAUUUCAGCAAUUUCUCCUCUCUCUCAGAUAUCCGGUUAACUUGGCUAAAGAAAGUAAGUUGCUCCAUCUGCAGUACUAACUUUUAACCAAUUUGCUUUAUAUUUUUCUUAACUGACAAUGUCACAUCUAUCUAAUUUUAGGUGGAAAUCUUUCAACAAAUGGAUGAACAAGUGUUGGAAGCAAUAUGCAAGUGCCUUAAGCACAUGAACUUCAAUGUUGCCAAACGCCAUAUUCUUCAAGAGAAAAAACCACUUAAAAUGAUGUUCUUCGUCAUCCGAGGAGUUGUAUUAAUUGAAAGCGAUAGUGCUUUGGAAGUGAACGUUAAAAACACCUGUGAAAUAGGAAGUUUCUAUGGAGAAGAACUUGUACAUUGGGUUACAACUUGGGUACACAAGUCCUUUCCUGCCAAACUACCUUUAUCACCUGGUUCUGCGCUAUGUAGUGUGCGUGGUGGUCCUGUCGAAAUACUUGCUCUCAAAGCCGACGACUUGAAGAGUGUAGUCUAUGAAUUGAGGUCGAAAUUCAUCACGGAAACCACCCUGCCUACAGAUUCUGAUCAGCCUCGAGAACUGACCAUCCUAAAGAAUGUAAGUUCCUCUGGAUGAAGAGAACCUGACCUAUAUAUAUAUAUUAUAUCCUAUAUAUUUUAAUCAUUAUUCUAAUUUCUCCUUUGCCUUAAAUAAAUAUGGUCUCCAAUAAUAUCCUAGGUGGAAAUCCUUAAGACUAUGAAUGAGGAAGUGUUGAAAGAAGUAUGCAAGCAUCUUACUGAAAAAACGUAUAAAGAUGAGUACAUUAUUAUGAAGGAUAAACAAAUGGAAAUGAUGUUCUUCAUCGUCAGCGGAGUUGUGUCAGUAACAAACGAGAGCUCGAAACAUUACCUUAGAGAAGGAGAAUGUCCAAAUCACAGUGGAGAUGAGCUUAUACAACGUUGGGUGCGAUCUAAAUCUACCAGCGUUUCUGCCGAAUUGCCCACCUCUCCUUCUAGUUUUUGGGCCAUCGGUGAAGUUGAAGUUCUGAUUCUUAAGGCCGAAGACUUGGCAAGUGUUCAGCUUGGUGAUCGAAUUGGUUAGUAUUAUCAUGUAUGUGCAACUAAUUAAUUAAUUUUGUCGUGAGUUGUGCAUAUAAUAACGGCAUGUGUGUAGUAAUAAGAUGUUAUCUUCCCACCGCGGCUACAUGCCUGCUUAUAUACAUACGUGCUUUCGUUGUCUGAUUUCUAGUAUUUGAUGAUCUUGGCAGGCUCUUGAGGAAAUGGCAAGGAAGAGUGAUGGUACGAUUACUUGUCCAAGGACAGGUUUGGUUUGCAAUUAAACAAAUCUGGUGAAGGCAUGUGUGUGUAUUUAUGUAUGCAACCCCGCCUUAGUUGUGACCUUUGUUGGAAAAGAUAAGGAGGUGGGGUAAUUGGUUGUACAUUAUUGUGUGGAGGUGCCAAGGUAAGCACUCUUUUUUUUCAAAUACCAAAUUUUCCUCUUCUGGGGAUUGUUUAUUAGAAAAGAAUUAUUAUUUUUUAUUUUUGGUCGAAAAUCAUAUCAUUAAAAGAAGCCCUGGAAAAGGAACAAAAGCUGGUAUCAAAUUACUUAUUAGGGAGGAAGACCAGAACUUUAGAAGCUAACUUCAACAUUUUUUUGUUUAAUUAUCCAAGGCUUAGGCUUGAAUUCAAUAUGUUUUUCAUGAAACUUGCCAAAAUUGAAAUUCUCAUUACAUCACUAGCUAGCUAGCAACAAGACAAUGAAUUAUAUGUCGGCCAUCAUCAUACAAUACGAGUUCGGCGUUAAUUUCGAUUUGAUUUUGCAUCCCACUAGAACUAUAGUAGAACCAAACAAUUCAUCAUGUUCACGUCUGACAUGAAGAAGUUGAGCGUUUGAAGAUGACCCGAGAAAGUGGUCCCCGCGGUCUCUUUGGGAGGUGGAGAUGGAAAGAAAUUCAACUUAGCCAGUCCCUUAGCAGCUGAAUAAUCCCAUGCCAUAACCUCGAGCUUAAUGGCCACUUCUCUCAUGGAGGGCCUUUCAUCCUGCAACCCUAGACAGCUUUUUAAGAGAUCAACCACUUCUUGGCUAUCUCCAAAUUUUCCUCCGUGAUUAUUUUAUCAUCAAGAAUUUGAUCCAAGCGACCCAGCAAAUAUAUAUAUAUAUAUAUAUAUAUAUAUAUUUAGUCCAUGGUAAAGCGUUUAGGAGACGAACAAAUUUAUGAGAAGAAGACUUGGGUAGAAGACUAGAAGUCUGGAAGCCAACAACUUUCGCAUUUCUUUUAUUUAUAAUCCAAGCCUUGAAUUAAAAAUGUUUUUCAUGAGGACUUGCAAAAUGAAAUUUGCUUUGGUUGGGAACGAGAAGACUUAGAAGUAGAUCUAGUCUCGAUGCUUGCUAGCUUUAACAUAUUUUAUUAAAGCCUGGAAUUAAAAAUGUUUUUCAUAAGAACUAGCUUGCACUGCAAUUUAUAAAAUCACAAAUCUUACCAAAAUGAAAUUUGCUUUGAUUUGGGAGAUGAACCAAUUUAGUCAACAAGACUUGCAGAGAAGACCAGAUUUUAUUCUCAAUGCUAACAUAACUUUUUUUUAAAAAAAAAAAAAUCCAAGUCUAGAAUUAAAAUGCUUUUUUUUUAAAUUUUUUUUUAUUGCGAUUAACUCAUACUGGAAUUAAAAGCAAACCAAAAGGUAGAGAAUAGUGAAAUAUUUAAAAUAUCAGCUAAUUUCAUUGGUUAAUGCAAAUCUUAAAAAUUAAAAUUAUUAAUUAAAUGAAGAGAAUAUGAUAAAUUCACACUUUUUCAUAUUAACAUAAUAACUGGUUUUUAUUUUACUCCAUGAAUAAUAUCUAGUUCGCUAAAUAAAAUUUGCGUUUAUUUUUAUGGAUAAUUAAAAGUUUAGGGGGAGAUUGAAGUAAAAUUUGCUUUUCUUUAACAAUUUGUGGCAUUCUCUUCUCAACUUCUCGUGUGCGGUGAAAACUGGUACGUGGGGUUAUUGGAAAUUAUGGUCUUGUAAAUUGUACGUUCCAAUCUUGUAGUUACUACCGGGGGGUCAUCCAUAUAAUUAUUCUAUUACUUCUCAUGUCCAACAUUAAAAAUUAUCCAGAAAACCAUAGUGCAGUGAAGCUGAAAAAGAAAGGAAAAUCAUUAUAAAAAAAAUAGUUACAACACAUUAAAGGAUUCUUUGCCAGAUAGAGUUCAAGAGGAUGAACAGAAAGUUAAAGUCACUACAAUAUUGUUGGGUAUAUAUGAUAGCUGAAGCCAACUGGAAUUGUUGAGCUGGCAGUGGUUAGUUCAGUGUUAGAUGGUUAGGCUGUUACGCAACAGUUUUAGAAGUUCGUUAAGAGCUUAAGAACAAGUGUAUAAAUACUCUAAGAAACCUUGUAAGGAUUUAUAAGGAUCUCACAUUAUUAGAACUUCAGCGUCUAACCUAAAACUAAACCAAUCCUAAUGCAUCAAAGACUAUGCUCUCAUGCAAUACCCAAAGUUCAUAUACGACUACAUAUGUUCAUGCAAAACUGUGAACAAAUCAUGCACUUCAAUUCAUAAGUAAAUGAGCAAAGAUCACAAACCUUGUUUUACACAGUUGUUCCGACUGCCGAAAAUCUUCUAUUCACCGGAAAUCACCUCUCUCAAGCUCAACUUUCGCUCUCAAAUACCAAGUGUUCCCUCAAGCAUAACCCUUCACCUUUUAUACUGAAGCCCUAGCAUCAGGAAGCGAAAGGGCGUAACAAUUAUGACAGCACUCAUCCAACGUGUCCACUCCUAGCAUUCAUUACAAACACAUGCUUGCACGGAAGCCUAGGCCUCAUGCUAAGCGAAGAUUUUUAUCCCAGCAAGCCAACCCCAGCAAAUCUAAUAAGUGCAUCACGAUUCGGAAACCUGUUCCGAUCGACAAAGCAUGCCGAACGGCAGGCUCACAAGGUUGAGUUCACCUCACCCGCCUAGCCGUUCUUCCUAGCAUGUCAAACGGCAGGUGCUCAGGGUCGAGUUCUCCUCACCCUCAUAGUCUUUCAUCUUUUCAUACCGAACGACAAGGGCAUAUGAUAGACUUUCCCCCAAGUACCCUUUUUCCCAACAACCCCAUUGGUUGGAGACUGGGGGGACUAUAUAAGUAUCAUCGGCAAACCACUAGGAACUUGCUAAAAUUCCUGUAGCGAGGCCCGGAUCAGAAUGUCGAAGACAUGUACGAGUACCCAACCAAGAAGUCCUUUCUCAAUCGAGAACUUGGGGGAGUCAUGUUGGUACCAUAUUUGACUAGGUCUCUCACGCCACGACACAUGGAAAUGACCUGACACCAAGCAGGGCCUAGAAGCCCAAGUUGGCCAGCCUUACGAGUGGUAGAUGCCCUGAGCACCCACUAUUGAUUCUACACUGACCGGCUCUUCACGUAGGCUCACAAUUGACAAUCGGCAUGUGUGCUCAGCACCCGUUGUCAAUUCAGGCUCCCAAAAGAUAUCUCAUAGGGAUGUGUUGUGUUCUUUACUGGUAUACUUUCUAGGAUACAUGGUAGUUCCCCAAGCUAUUCCCACAAGUCCCACAUCGAAAGUUUAUACCAAUGAAACACCAAAACUUCUAUAAAUAAGGCCUUUUGCGGGCAAAAGGUAAUAGCGACUUUACACUUAUGCCCUUACUUUGUCAUCAGCUAACUUAUAUUUUCUUCGGCUAACUUUAGUAUUGGAGGGCCUUCGGUCGGUAUCACACCAAUGUCUUAGGUCUUACCUACUGCUUUUUUCCUUUCUCUGAGAAAUGCCGACGGACAUGCUUACUGAAGGCAUAUCAGAUCACACAUCAUCCUUAAAUUUGGGCCCACUACUGAUCAUCUAGUUUUGAGCACAAACAACUGCAAUGAAGUAGAAUGUUCAAAUCACAGCGGAGAUGACCUUAUAGAAUAUUGGAUGCAAUCUAAAUAUAUUGUCUUUUCUACCAAGUUGCCCUUAUCUCCUUUUAAUUUUUGGGCCAUCGGUGAAGUUGAAGUUUUCGUUCUAAUGGCCAACGACUUGGCUGAGGUUCAGCCUCGUCCAAGUGCAACUGUAAAUUGAUUGUUCAAUUAUUCAAGUUUAUUAGCAAUUUUGUUCUGUAACUGUUGGAAUGUCAUGUGCUCUAUGUACAUAAAUCAUUCCCUGUCCAAACGCAACCGCAUAUCUCCUUCAAAAUAUCUUUCUUUUGUGGGUCGGAAAACCAAAUUGAAAUUAAUAGUAUCUACAAAUUACCUUACCGAAACGUAUUCUGUAUUUUUAUAUUGAAUUAAUUUGAAAGAAAUCCAAGUAGCUUAUCAUCUACGUGUACAUCACAUAGUUGUGCAAUCACUUGAAAGGUUCAGACGGCAAGUUGUAUAAGACUCUUUCAACGAGAAAGUCUCAAUUCCAAAUAUAUAGUUCUGUGGCCCGAAAUCACUUCCAGUCGCUUUAAGAGAGAUGAGUUGGGAGUGUAUAUUGAGUGCAUGCAUUGUAGCUAGCUGCUAAUUAUAUUCAGAGAUGCUGCUUUGCCUUGACCUGAUUCAGAUAUAUACUGUUUUUGUGUGGGAAGGAUGGAAGGAAGAGUAUCAAAAAACAAGGUUCAUCAAAUGUCAACCCUAUCUACUUAUACGCCAAAUAUUGUUCACAUGGCAAUCAUACGUCAUAGUUGAUAACUACAGUGUUUUCUUUCUUUCCAAUCUCAUUGUUUUGCGUUGAGUACAAUUUGGACACACAUAUCGUUACUGCUUAAAACGUCCACCGUCAAGACCUUAUCCAUGGAAAUUCAUUUUCCCUUAUUUCACACCUGCAAUAAUUCCACAACUAAUACUCCCAGAAAACAGGCCACAGAAAUGGGCCACGUGGCCACCUAUUCUGGACCAAACAACAUCGACAUUAUAUAUUUACCAUUUUUAUUAUGGAGAAUGCUAGCAAUCUUUUUUCUAACUUUCUUUUUUGGACUUUCUCUCUUGUACAUGUGUUACUUUCUCUACACUUAAAACAAUGUCAUUAAUGCAUUAGACAAUUUAUCUUUUUUUUCCCAAAUUGUGAAACCCCGUAUUUAUAAAAUUGUAUAGUUUGAAGAUUUGAUAUUUUGCCAUUUAAUUUAUAUAUUAUAUUAUAUUAUAUUAUAUAUGUGUGUAUUACAUAAAUAUCCUAAUACAUUAUAUAUGGAUAUGCUUAGUCAUUGUUAGUGUAGUACGUGUCAAAGAAAAACAAAUGCUUAGCAAGCAUAGCUAUAUACUAGCCUUGUCAAUUCACCAAGAAAAGUUGUAUAGGAUUGGAGGAAUUGGGAACUACCCCAUCUACAAAGCUAGACCACAUAAAAAUAACUUGGAUGGUAAGUGUUUGUAAACCGCCAAACACCAUCCAAUAGGAAGGGAGUCACUGCCGAUAUAUUCCUUAUAUAUAUAUAUAUAUAUAUAUAUAGGACGUGAGUUGCAUAGCAAACGGAAAAAAAUACAACAAGAGAGAAAUAUUGGUAGAGAGGAGUAAGGAAAAGAGUGAGAAACUGAGUUUGUGAAUUCGAUGGAAAAUUGGGAAACACUUUACAUUUCUAGCAAAAGCUUUGGUAUCAAGGUAGGGGUUUCUUGGUGACCUUUUACAAAGAUUGAUCUAAUUAAAUUUCGUGAGCUCUAUAUUAUGUGUGAUAUUGUAUAAUGUUCUUGAUAUACUAUAUUUACGUAUUGUGAACUAUUUGAAUAAUGUUAGCAUAAUUAUAUCAUGUCAUGGUAAUUGGUCGGAGUUGUUGGGUGGAGAAGAUAAUUGUGGAAAAGAGGGUAAUAAGAAGGUUCUUUUGUGUAGUUGAGUCUGACCAUUGUAGGGACCAAGUUCAGGCAAGCUCGUGUGCACAGUAGAUUAGGAAAUCGGCGGUAUAAUUGUCGAUUGGGUGAUUUGGGCUUGGAGAUCAAUGGUAUAGACAAGAUGACUAGCAAAAGGGGAAUUAUGAGAUAACUGUGAUGGGUGUUAGUUUAUAUAAUGGGGCAUUCGGAAUCACAGUGGUAAAAUGCAUGGUAUGGGACAUGCAAAUUUGCUUGCCCUACUAUAUAGAUUAACGGGUUGGGUAGAAUUGAAGAGCAUUCAUGCAUCAUUAUUAUUAUUAACAUUAAUGUGAUAUUUGGCUGUGUGAUUGCAUGUCACUUAAUUUAGUUAUAUCAAUCUACUAUGGUAAGGUCUCAUAUCCCUACUAAGCUGUGGUUGCUCAUCCCUCACCCUGUUUACUUUUUCAGAUGAAUUAGUGGGCAAGACAAGGAGUAAAUCGGUUGGGGCUGAAUUAGAUGAUAGUGAUAGAGCUUUAUUUAUUUAUUGUAAAGUUGUAAGAUUUUGGAUCUAUUUUUAUAAAAGAAGUUUAUUUUAAACCAUGUUUUGGCUUUUAUCUAUUUAUUUUAUUUUAGUUUUUAUUUUCUCACGCACUGGGCGCGGGAUUUUUACGUACCUCGGUCCGGGGCGUGACACAAAUUUACCCAUAUUAAAUGCAUUAAUUUUAUAUUUUCUUCAAUUUACAACUUAAAGUUCAAUUAAAUAAACAUUUGAAAAUAAAUUUAAAUUUUUUUUUAAAUUUAAUGAACAUUCUAAUGGAUUAAAAAAGUUAAAAAAUAAAAAGAAAUAGAAAAAAAAGAAGAUGAAAAUCCAAACCCAUUACACCAUCUGUCUCUCUCUCUGACCCAAAACCCAGCCCCCUCCCUUGGCCAAAACAACAGUCCUCAUCCGUACCCAAUCAUCAUCAUCGCUUUCCAAUCCAAAACCCCACCAUCCAUUGUACCUCUCGCUCUCUCCUCCGAUUCCAUACCAAAAAACUCAUCCCCCUUCCCUCACCAAGAAAAAAGUGAACAAUUUUUUAUAUUUUAUAUUUUAAAUCAUUGACGUUAAUUUUGUGGAAUAUGUUAAUUCUCCCUUAAUGUUUUUAACAAGAUGCAAACAAAAGUUAGUUUGUUCAAUGCAUUUAAUAAGGUAAAUUUGAGAAACAAAAGAUACAUUGUCUAAUGUAUUAAUGGCAUUUUUUAAGUAUAAAAAGUGACACAUGUCAUGAGGGGAAGAGAGAAGGUUCAAAAGAGAAAGUUAGAGAGAAGGUUGCUAACAUUCCCCUUUUAUUAUAACAUGACUUUAGUCUUUAUGAGUCCCGAUCCCUUUAAAAGUAAAGUUUGAGUAAUAAAUUACUAAAAGAAAUAAAUUAUUAGGUGUUUAAUGUACAUACCCUUAAUAAAGCCUAAACAAAGGUGUUUAGGCAAAACUCUUCUCACUGCAAAAAUUCCUAGCACAUUCUCUCCCAAAAAACACUCCUAAAGCCGUUUUUACUUUGAAAAAGGAGGAAGCCAUUGUUCUUCCUCCCAUCUCCCCUCUCCCCUCUCCCCUCUCCUCUCUUCUUUCCUCAUUUUCAUAGACAAAAGGUUUUCCCUAUUUGUCUUCGUUUUGUUAUGACAGUCAAAGUGUUAUAUACUUAGUCAAGAACCAAGUGUUUCAUAGAAGGUCUAAGCAUAUUGAUAGACGAUAUUACCGGAUAAGAGAUUGGGUGAACAAUAAGGAUAUUGUAAUAGAGAAGGUUCAUACAGAUGAGAACGCUUCAGAUUGCUUGAUCAAGCCAGUCACAGCUAAGAAGUUCAGACAUUUUUGAGCUUGCUCAAUCUUGUUGCAUGCUAAAGAUUGAGGUGGAGCUCUUGGGAAUUACUAGAACGGUUUUCCAAGAGGGUUGAAAAGGAUCUAGGGGUCGAUGAUUUUCACAAGGUAUUUAAGGCUUGCCAAUGUGGAUAUUGUUGAUGUUGGCUCACCUCAAGAUAUGGAAGGAUUGAAGGAAACGGGCAGUCAAACGAGCAACAGACGUGUUGACUGGGCUCUGGCCCUCAAGUGGCAGAACUCUGACUCGAGAUGAAACAGGCGCUCGAGCGGCGCGAGUGGCGCUCUAGCAAGACACGUGAAUCCAGCGUGUAUCCCUGACUUAUCUGGACAGAUUUUCUCUUAGUUUUGAGAUGUUUUAGGUUUCCUAUUCCUUGUAUAAUAGUACUAAAAUCCCAUGAAGUAUAAAUAGGCACUUUAGCACUAGAUUUUGAUAACGUGAGAAAAUUAAGACAUCAAAUUGGGUUGAGCCAAGGGUGAAAGAAAAGAGAGUUAGGAUUUGUGAGAGAGCAAAUGGGCUUCUUCAUUGUAACCAAAGAGGUUCUUUCGUACUAGUGAAUUUCUUAGGGAUCACCAAGAGGACGUUGACACAACGGCAAACCUCUAUAAAUUCUUGUGUUCUUUGUUUGUGUUUAUUUUUCAGUUUGUGUGUGUGCUUUAUCUUUUCGUGACUUGUGUGUGAUUGUUGCGUAGUCAAUCAACAAUAUGGUCUUGAAGUGUUAUGAUUUUAAAGUGCCUAUGUCUUUGUCACUGUGUGUUUCGUACUUUUUGGAGCAGAAGGAAAAACACAAAACCACCGAACACUUUACAAUUUUGUCUGUCCUUUCCCCCUUAUUGAUAUCAUUGAAAUAAAAGUUGCAAUGAAACCACAAGGUGCCAUUAAGAAGGUCAUAUCAUUACAUUACUUGCUCCCUGUAUACUGCUCAUGAACCGUGAAGACUUUAUCCAUGUAAAGUCAUUUUCCCAUUCAUACCUGCAUUAGUUCCACAACUAACAAGUGCCAAAAAAAAGUCUCUCCUUUUAAUUCCGCAACGUGCAUUCAAUAAGAUUCAAAACGUGGCAGAAAACAGUCCACACAAACGCUUCACGUGGCCACGUACCUUGGACCAAACAGCAUGUACACAGUACAUACAUCUACCAUUCUUAUAAACUUGACUUUAAGUUGUAGAAAAUUUGAGAUUUAAAGGGGAUUUGCUCCAUCAUUUGCAUUCCAGAAUUCUAGCAAAGAUCAGAUUCAGUUUCUGCCAAAAAAAAAAAAAAGGAAGAAGAAGAAAGGUUUGCAUGGCUACCGGUGAAGUAACUGUAGUAGUGGAGAACAUAGAAGGGAACAUGGAAGGGAAAACUGAAGCAACAGACAACUCGAAAGAGAAAGUUGCAAGGUUAGUUUGUAUAUAUACGUACAACUUUAACAUGCAUGCACCAUUUUCAUUUUUCCUUUCUUAAAUAAAUAUUCUUAUAUCAAACAAUGCAAAGUCCCCACUACAGAACAUAACCUUUUCGUUCAAAAAAGAAAAAAGAAAAAAAAAGAACAGAACCUUUUGUUGUUUUGAGAACAACUAAAGUCAUUGCGUUGUAAUAAGCCAAAUAUUUAAACACAUAUGGUGGUACAUAUAAUAAAAUAAUACAUAGUAAAAUUAAAUUAAUGGACUGCUUUUUCUUGUCAAACGAGCUGAUAUGCGCAAAUUUACAUUUUUUUUUUUUUUUCGUUUUUGUUUUUCUCCAGUGAUCGUUAUUCAAAUUCAGAGGCAACAGUGAAAAACUCAGCCAUGAAAGAUGAAGAUGGAUCAAAUAAAAAAGAGGACGAAAAUCAUGAUACUCGUUGGGGGGCUUUCCUUCAAAUGUGGAAGAAGAUAUUUGUAGUAUCAUGUCUGUUUACUGUUGCACUGGAUCCAUUGUUUCUCUACGUUCCUAUGAUGAAGGAUGAUAUCAAGUGCCUGCUGGCCGACAGAAACUUGAAGACAACAGCUCUUCUUUUAAGAUCACUCACUGAUCUUUUCUAUAUAUUUGACAUUAUUUUGUAAAUUUAUACAUCUGCUAAAUAUCGUGUCAGUGUCACACAAAACGACUCGAAAAUAAGGUUUUCGUGGAAAUCAACAAUAGCUAAGAUGUGGGUAUUCUUCCGCUUCUACAAUAAUAUCUUCAUUGACAUUUUGGCUAUUCUUCCGCUUCCACAGGUUAGACCUUUAUUGGAAUUUACUGACUAGUAGCAAAAGAGGCAAAAGCCACAAUUUACCUAGCCACAGUGGGCCGACAGUGGCCAAUAUUAGUGAUCUUUGCUCGUGAUAAUUUGAUUUUAAAUGUUUGUAUUAUGUUGUCCAGGUAGCAAUUUUCAUCUUCCUUUCAAAAAUGAGGGACUUGAGAUCUUUGAGCACAAAAAGGAUGGCUAUUAUGAAUCUUUUUGUUUUGUUGCAAUAUGUGCCACGAGUUCUUCGGAUCUACUUAUCAUGUAAGGAACUUAAAAAAACUCCUAAAGAAGAGAUCAAAGAAACUGCUAUAUGAGUUAAAGGUGUCUUGAAUUUCUUUAUGUAUAUCCUGGUUAGUCAUGUAAGUAACAAUAUUUAAUCUUGAUAAAUGAUUUGGUUGGAUUUUUUUUUCCGUAAAAGGCUAGGUUCUUAACUCAAUCAACCUUGAUGAAUGGAAAAUGUACAUGGGGCAAAAUGAUCCAUAUUACAAUAGAGUAGGCAUAUACUUAAUAUUCUUGAGUUACAUUUUCACAAAACAAUAAUGUUUCAUAACAUUAAGUCCUUCUUCCAAUCCUUAUUCGUGUAUGUUCUUUUUUCCUUUUUGUUAUAACCAAAGGCAUUCAAACUCUAGUCUCUUGGGCGUAAGGGUAAAUACCUCGUACUGCUAUAGGUAGAAACUCUCAUAAUUUUCAGUCUAUGUUUAAAGGGUGAAGAUAAGUUGUUGAAAUAAGGAAACUGUCCUAAUCACGAGAAUCUAAUGUUGUGACGCAAGGAGGCGACUCCUUCCAAAUACGCCAAAUUUGACAGUAUUUGAUAAAUAUAUUUUGAUGUAUUUUUGUUUAACUUGAGUGAAGUCAAAAAUUAAAAUAUAAUUUUAUUCAUAUUUUCAUCAUCACCUCUAAGUCUAAUCUAAUUAACAAACUUGUUAUUAUUUAGGUACUUGGAGCUAUAUGGUAUUUUUUCGCUAUUCAACGAAUGACCAUUUGUUGGUGUGAUGCAUGUCGGAAAAAAAAGGGAGGUGAUACUAGUUCUUUUGGCUGUCAUGAGCAUAACACAUUUAGAAAUAUUAAAUUUUUAAAUGAUUUAUGCCCUAUAAGUCCAGCGAAUACAACGCUCUUUGAUUUUGGUAUAUAUAGUACAAUCCUUCAAUCUGGUAUACCAGGGUCAACAAAAUAUUUUCAAAAGAUCUCCAAUUGUUUUUGGUGGGGACUGCGAAAUUUGAGGUUUGUAAUUUUUUUUUUUUUUGGUGUUGUUUGUUUGAACUUUGAUGGGUAAUGAUGAAUUUGCUUACUUCCAAUCAUAUAUAUGUUUUACCAUUUCAUUUUUGCAGUUCUCUUGGUUAAAAUCUUGAGCCUAGCGUGGAUGGAUGGGAGAACCUCUUUGCUGCGUUCAUCUCUAUAAUUGGAUUGCUUUUAUUCUUAUAUCUCAUUGGAAAUUUGCAGGUUAGGCUUGAGUUUAAUUUAAAGAAAGUUGAAUGUAUCGUUUUUGAUUUGAAGGAUUCAUAAAUAACUAAUACCUAGUUAAGAAUGACUGAGCUGCUUGUUGUGGCAUGCAUAUAUAUAUAUAUAUAUAGACAUACAUGCAGUUGAUUACUGCACGAAGAGAAGACCAUAGACACAAGGUGAAAGUGAAACGAAAGAUGGAAAAGAAAGAUAAAGAGACAGUUGUGGUUAUCUGAAAAUGGCAUCCCCAAAAAGUUGAAGAAGACGGGGAUGCUGAUUUGGACUAUAUCUUCUCUAUUCUUCAAAUCCGUAUUAAAAAAUAUAUGCAGGUAAGUUCCUCUAAACCCAUGACUUUAAUUAAGUAGUAGUGGCCUUUCCAUCUACAUAUACUCCAGGCUGAAAACACCCAUCCUAAUCUCAUUUAGUAAAAAACAGUAAACAAGUACAUCUUUGAAAACUUGCAAAUUCAUAACCAAACUCAUGAAAGACCUAAAUGGACCAAAACCAUUUUAAUUGCUUACGUGACAAUAACGAGUCCCACUUUUUACUCUGAUAAGAAUUCCAGGUGGGUGAAAAAAAUUAAAAAAUUAUAUAUAUUUUAAAUUCAUUUACCACAUUUUUAUCCCACAUUUCUAUACCACAUGAUGUGGUAUGCCUAUAUCAUAUGCCAUGUCAAUUAAUUUAAUGAAGUAUAUCUCUAUAUUUAAAGCAAAAGGCAAAGAAUGGUGAAACAUUCAAAAUACUGGGAAAUGCCCUUGGUUAAUUCAAACAUUAAGAAUUGAACUUAUUAAUUAAAUGAGGAUAAUAUCAUAAAUUCACAUUUUUCUAUUUAAAAAAAUUAAAAUUAAAAACAAAAUAAGAUAAUAGGCCCUACUUUUAUGGAACAUAACUACUCAUGUUAUCUUUUCUUAAUUCUAAAAAUAAAAUAAAAAAUAAAAAAUAAAACCAAUUGGCACAUGCUCGGGCUAGUUCAUGUGCCAAGGGGCUAGUUUUAAUAAAGAAAUUUUAAUUAAUUGUGUUUUUUAAAGUGUUAAUAAAUCAUAAAAGAAAAAAAUUAAAUAAAUUUAAUUGAUGUGGUUGUCUACCUCAUUUGCCACAUAAGGUGGUAUACAAAUAUGAUAAGAGUAGCAUUAUUCAAAAAAGUUAUAAAAUAAUAAAAAACACAAUGAUCAACCAGCCCCACCUCCUCUCCCCGAUCUCCAUCCUCCGUUCCUCCCAGCCCCCAGCUCCCACCCCUUCACCGUCAACCUAACCCAUCCAUCCCCACCCGCUCCCUUUGUCUCCUACAAACCAACGACCUAACUCUCCCUCUCCUUUUUAAGAAACCAUAUGUCAAUGAAGGUGAAGACAUUCCCACCCAAACUUAUCUAAGAAACCCCAAUCAUCUUCCCAAUGGCGGGUAAUAGUUAGCUGGUGAAAGGACCCGCCCCGAAUUUUCUCAAAACUCGAGACGAACCCUUUGGAAUUCCUGACAUCACUUUGAUGCCAGACCCAAUUACUAAAGACCGAGACUUCCUGCAGGAAAUUUCGGCAGAGUCUCCCCUAUAAAUUGGACAUUUUCCAAAAUUUAUACCUGCAUGAAAACGCAUUUAAUAUUCCCAACUGGCAGCAUGCACAAUAUAAUUUCAUGCAAUUCACACAGAUGGCCUUCGGCCUUCCAAUAAUUCUUAACCAACUACCAAGCAAUUCAAAUACAAAUUAUGACUAAUAUUUAGUCUGCGGCUGCACCUAAUAACCUUAGGCUGCCUACGUACCCUCCUUGAAGGAUCAAGCCACACGUAGUUCUUCCCUAAAAAUCCAAUUCCACACUUGGGCGAUGCCUUAUUUCAUUUCUCUGUAUUUCACAUAUUCUCCCCAUACGCCGGUACAACCAACGCCACGUAUGAGGCCUGUCAACACGCCGGAUAACCUACGCCACGUGCGACCAUGCCAUACUAUCAUAAUAUCUCCUCAUACGCCGGUACAACCAACGCCAAGUAUGGGGCCUGUCCCAACGCCGGAUAACCUACGCCACGCGGGACCUCAAUAUCAUAUCACAAAUCUCCCCAUACGCCGGUACAACCAACGCCACGUAUGGGGUCUGUCGACACGCCGGAUAACCUACGCCACGUGCGACCUCAACACAAUAUCACAUAAUCUCCCCAUACGCCGGUACAACCAACGCCACGUAUGGAGCCUGUCUCAACGCCGGAUAACCUACGCCACGUGAGACCUGAACAUCAUAUUACAUAGCUCCCCAUACGCCGGUACAACCAACGCCACGUAUGGGGCCUGUCCCAACGCCGGAUAACCUACGCCACGCGGGACCUAACUUUCACUUGGCGGUACUUGUAGUGAAUCCAACAUCCGGGGCUCCGAUUCACGAUCUGUGAAUUCCUACACGAUCCUAGAAAUACGUAGAUUAACAUAUAUUAAAUUUGGGACCAUCCGACGGUCCCAACCUAUCGAACCCGGAUAACGCACAAUAUGCGAUUAUCCGUUCGAUAGUCAAACGAUGUCCGAAUUGAGAUCCGCGAAAUCCUACGCACUCGUGACAACCUAAGGAUCUCAUCGGAACACAGUGCUACUUUUCUACAGUGUCCACGCGCCGCCGCACGCUCCGGCAGCGUGUGGGUGCCCAAAGCGAUAACGCUUUGCCGGAAAAGCUCAAAACCACGGCUCCAAACUCCUACCCUAGGUAUAACACACUAUUUGGAGCCACUUUUGUUCUUGGACCUACCCCAAAAAGUGGCCGGAAAUGGCCGAUCACGGCGGCCGAAGUUCGGCCGAUUUUCAAUUUGAAAAUCGAGUUGUCUACGCUAAGAAUCGAUCUAAUCCUUUCCAACCAUCAGCUAGAGCAGCUCGAGAGGUUCAAAAUCCAUACCUGGGUCGACGGAAUUGGUGGCCGGAGGAGGGAGAUCGGCGGCUGUGAAGAUCCGGCGACGUCGGCCGCUUCUUCUCCAAAUUCCGGCGAAACCGCGGAUGCUGGAGGCGGGGGCUGGCUGGGGUAGAAAGAGGACGACGGCCAGGUCAUUUUGGUACCGAUCCCGUCGUCAUCGGUGGCCGGAGGAGAGCAUGGCCGGCCAAAACGUGACCGGCUGUCGCGCGCGAGAGAGAGGAGAGAGAGAGACCCGCGGGGGAGAGAGAGAGAGAGAGAGAGAAAAAUCUGAGUUUUAUAAAAAAUUCCAUUUCGAAAUAUUUACGAUUGUGCCACUGGGCUUCUUUUGACCAUAUCUCUCUCGUUACAACUCCGAUUCGAGCCCACUACGUGUUUAUGAACUCGUCUCAGUACGACCUUUUCAAAAAUACUAGUUACUGCCCCAAACUCUCUUCGGUUAAAAAUAUGACUAAAAUACUCUUAAAUAAUUAAUUAAUUAAAUAAGGGUUAAAUUCGGGGUCGGGGUGUUACAGCUGGUUUGUCAAAUCCUUCUCUCAACAACAAUCGGGGGACUCAAAGAAGCGCAAAGAGGCGCAGUUGCACCUCCCCUCGCCGGAUACCAUAGAAGUCAGUCAUUUUGACCCCUUGGGCGGCUGGGCAAGAAUGCCCACAACCUGUUUGUGGGAAAGCCGGAAUAAAGAGCAACAAAGCAGCAAGUGCGGUCUAUUUUUCUUUUUAAUAUGUUUUAAGAUCUCCGUGUGCAUUAUACGUGUUUAGUUUUUGUUCUAUCAAAGACCACAUCAUGCUGCUACUUUAGUUUGAGGGUAGAGCAGUCAUUAGAGCUUACUAGAAUAUGCAUUUCAUAAAAAAAAGAAGGAAUAAUUGGAAGUGAGUUUUCAUGUUUUAUUAGGACCACCAAAAAAGAAGUGGAGAGAUACUAGAGUUUGAUGGCUUAACCUAAAAAUAUUUUGAUAUAUAUAUAUAUAUAUAUACAGUCCCUUUUUAUUGAGGGAUUUCUCAAAUAAUUUCAUUUGAGGGACACCCUUUAGGGUCCUCUACGAAUUUUUUUUCAACGAUCGAAACCAUCUAUUUUUUAAGUCUAUAUUCAUAGAUAAUCCUUGAAGAAAAUUAGACAAAUCGGAAACUGUUUUGAUAUCCAAUUGUGUCCUACAAAAUCAAUGAACACAAUGCUUCAAGAAAGUACUAAAAUUUCAAUAAUUCAAUUGAGUGGUCAAAUGAUAUCGGAUUCAAGUGAUUUUUUGUAGAGAUAUCUUUGAAUGAGUAUCUACAAAAGAGAUGGUUUGGAUUAGUGAAAUACAAUACAGAGUGGGCCCUACAAUGGUAUCCCUCAAAUAAGCUAAUUUGAGGGAUCCCUCAAUGGAAGCUCUCUGUAUAUAUAUAUAUAUAUAUGAUCUUUGAAUGAGUAUCUACAAAAUAGACGGUUUGAAUUAGUGAAAUACAAUAUAAAGAGGGGCCUAAAAGGGGUGUCCCUCAAUGGAAGCUCUCUGUAUAUAUAUAUAUAUAUAUAUAUAUAUAUAACUUAACUCAAACUUCAGACUAAUGCAUAUGCAGAAAAUAAUGCAUAUAUGAAAUUAAUCAAAAUAGGAUAAUUUUGAAAAUAGCAACUUUUUAUUAUACUCACAGAGGUUGCAACUGCAAAUAAGCUUAUUUGAGGGACACCCCUGUAGGCCCCACUCCGGUUUGUAUUUCAAUAAUCCAAACCGUCUAUUUUGUAGAUACUCAUUCAAAGAUCAUCCCUACAAAAAAUCUCUUGAAUCCGAUAUCAUUUGACCACUCAAUUAAGUUAUUGAAAUUUUAGUAUUUUCUUGAAGUACCGUGUUCAUUGAUUUUGUAAGACACAAUUGGAUGUCGAAACGGUUUCCGAUUUGUCUAAUUUUUUGUUAGGAUGAUCUAUGAAUGAAGACCUAAAAAAUAGAUGGUUUGGAUCAUUGGAAAAAAAAUUGUAGGGUACCCUAAAGGGCGUCCCUCAAUAGAAGGGGACUGUAUAUAUAUAUAUAUAUAUAUAUGAAGCAAGUAUUUAGAACUUAAAUGAAGAAAACGCAUCCAAUUACAACCAUUACAUAUCAUCCUAGCUACACGGUACUAACUUUUAGAAGAUUUGCUUCAUAUUUUUCUCAAAUAUUGUAUCUAUUUAUAGGUGCCACUACUUAAAGGCAUGGACGAAGGAGUUUUGAGAGAAAUCUCUGAGAAGCUUAAGCCCGAGAAGUAUACCCGUGGAGAAAUCAUUAUAAACAAGGAUGAAACACUUGAAAUGAUGCUUUUCAUCGUGGACGGACAUGUAACCAUUGAAAAGGAAAAUUCUCAGUUGCAAUUAGGCGCACAAGAUUUUUAUGGAGAGAAACUUCCGUUAUCUGUUUUGUGGACCUCCUCUAGUGAUGCAAAACCCAUAAACGAGUCUGUUCAGGCCAUUGGACUGUUGCAAUCCAAUGGUACAAAUUCAAUUUUUCCAAUUUUUUUAAUUAAAAAAACUAAGUGUCUAUUUCCAAUCAGACAACCUUGAUUGAAUCUAAUGAAAUUUAACGGUAAAAAAAAUAUCCAAGGCCAAAAGGUUGAUAUUAGUUAAUUUAUAUCAUAUUCAACCUCGAAAAUGAUUCCUAGGUCUAUAUACCCACCCAUUUGUUCAUAAUUCGUGCCUCUUUCUUUUAUAAUCAAAUACAAUUAUAUUUUUAUAAUUUAUAACUUUCUAGUGAAAAUGUUCAUAAAACUAAUUUUUUUUAAAUGUAAACAAAAAUUAAUUCCAUACAAGUUCAUCAAAAAAUUUGAGAUUAAGAUACAAUACGAGUUUUAUUGGAGUUGAAUAUAAGUCAGUUUUUAAAAGUCUCGCCCAUUUAAAAGUAAAGUUCGAGUAAUAAAAGAAAUAAAUUAUUAACACACAAUACGAGUGCCCGUGAUAUUGAUGCAAAUUUACCCUUCUAAAUCAAUAAUUAUGGGCUAUUUUGUGCUCCAAAGUUCAUAUUCUGCUGAGCACUCAUCGCUUUAAUUUGGAUACUAAUCAGAAGGAUAAUUGCACAAAGCUGUGAAACUAAAUUAUAUUGAAUCUCGUGAAAGUCACGUACGUAUAGAUCCAUUUACAUAUAUUGAAUUAUCUAAUUUGACUUUGUCCUUCACGUGAUUCAAAUAAUGUGGUAAAAUUGUUUUUUAAAUAAUGAUGAUGAUGAUUUGCACCAACUUCCUAAAAAUGUGGAAAUUUUGUUUUUUUUUAAAAUUGCGAGUCGCCAUCUUCAUCUUCACCUUCAUUUGUGGUGACUUUGAUAGUCUAACUGAUAUGAUUUUAAAACGUCUAUGUCUUUGUCGUUGUGUUUGUCCUUCCUCCUCUGUCAACCACAAUUAUUGUUCACAGCCAGUUGCCUCUGAUUCGCUACACUUAGUGGAAGAGUAGUAGGGGACAAGGUUUAUCAAAUGUCUACUACACUAAGUCUCUCACAUAUCUUAUUUUAUAUAGCAAUUAUUGUUGAUCUAAACUCUUAGAAGCUUCAAAACGAGAGCAUCUACCAUUCUUAUAAUUAACUUGACUUCAGUUUGCUCCCAUCAUUUGCAAAUUCCACUAGCAAGAUCAGAUUCAGUUUCUGGAAAAAGAAAAAAAGACAAGAAAACAAAAAAGCUUUGAGUUUUAUAUGGCUUCCGCUCACGGUGAUUUAGAGAACGCUGAAGCAAGGUUGGUUUCUCUAUAUACGUACGAGUUUCAUAUGCAUGCCCCAAAUUCAACUUUUUUCCUUUCUUACAAAAAUAAAUGUUUUUAAUUAUAUUGUUAUUGAUCUAGAACAGUUUAACCUUUUGUUGUUUUAAGGACAUGCUAAAGUCAUUGCAUUGCUAUAACAUUAAUAAUAGUAUAAUCACAGCCAAAUCUUUAAUUAUAUCCUAUAUACGUAAUUUUAUGUUCUUUGUGUCUUGGCCAGCAGAACAGAUUAUCCAAAUUCAAACCAGACAACGGAAAAUUCUUCCACGAGAGAUGUAGAGGUGAAAAAUUCAAAAAAUGCAGCACGGUUGACUAAAAUAUUUAUAACAUCAUGUGUGCUUGGCGUUUUCCUGGAUCCUUUGUUCCUCUACAUUCCUCUCCUCAACCACGAUUUGAAGUGUCUGAGGUUGGACAACACCAUAAAGAUUAUCGCUCUCGUCUCGCGAUUGUUCACUGAUCUAUUUUAUGUAGGCAGAAUAAUUUUGCAAGUUUGUAGAUUUGAAAAUUGUUCGCCUUUCAUGAAUCGAAUUCUUCCCGAAAGUUGCUCCUCCAAGUUAAUAACAUCAUUCAUCAAAUGCUUUCGUGAGUUAUUACCUGAAGUAACUGAAGUUCAUGAGAAGGAAUAUCUAAUACCAAGUAUAACAAAGGAGAUACUGGAGUCGUCCAUCAUAGUUGACAUUUUAGCUAUUCUUCCUCUUCCACAGGUAUGAAGAAAAGCUCUUUGAUAUCUAGACUCUAGAUCCAGUAGUUAAUUGCUUUUCCAAUCUCACUGUUUUUAUUUUUUAUUUUGGUCAUAAAUCUCACUGUUUUUGUUUGCAUGCAAUGAUAUAUAUAUAUAUAUAUAUAUAUAUAUAUAUAUAUAUAUGAGUUGGUCCUUUAUGAGUUGUUCUCUACUACGGACGUCCAUAUUUUUUCUAACAUCGUCCUACAUGUUCUUUUGCCUUCCUUGUGAUAAUAAAUUAACCUUAUCACUUUUCUUGGUAAAGGUAGAAUAGAAACCAUGCUCUACCAAUACUUAAAAGUCAAACAUCACCUCUAGAUUGGCUUUUCCUUCAUUGGUGGCCUGUAGAGAGAAUUUGGAGGCUGUUAUGUGUGCUUUAGUGCCUUUUUUUUAAUGAUAAAGAAGAGAGAUGUAGAAAACAAAAUGGAAAUGGUUUUCUUCCCAUUGAAUGAAUGAAUUCAUUCUGAUCAUGUGAAAAAAACAAAACGAGUCUGGACAUUAAGCAAUUCCGGACGUCCGCACUAGAGAAUAGUCCUCUAUAUAUAUAUAUAUAUAUAUAUAUAUAUAUAUAUAUAGAGCUUUUAUUAAGGGAUUCCUCAAAUUAGCUUAUUCGAUGGACACCUUUGUAGGGUCUACUUCGCAUCAUAUUUCACUAAUCCAAACCGUCUAUAUUUUAGAUAAUCAUUCAAAGAUUAUCUUUACAAAAAUCACAAGAAUAUGAUAUCGUUUGAGCACUCAAUUGUGUUAUUGAAAUCUUAGUACUUUCUUGAAGCACCAUGUUCAUUGAUUUUGUAGGAUACAAUUGGAUGUCGAAAUGUUUUCCGAAUUGUCUAAUUUUUUGCAAGGAUGAUCUAUGAAUUUAGACUUACAAAAUAGAUGGUUUGGAUCGUUAGAACAAAAUUCAUAGUAUACCCUAAAUGGUGUGGGAUCCCUCAAUAGAAAGGGAUUAUAUAUAUAUAUAUAUUAGGGAUCCCUCAAAUAAGUUUAUUUAAGAGACACCCUUGUAGGACCCACUUUGUAUUGUAUUUCACUAAUUCAAAUCGUCUGUUUUGUAGAUAUUCAUUCAAAGAUCAUCUUUACAAAAAAAAUCACUUGAAUCCAAUAUCAUUUGACCAUCAUAUUGAAAAUUUUGUACUUUUUUGAAGCACCGUAUUCAUUAAUUUGUAAGACACAAUUAGAUGUCGAAACGAUUUUCGAUUUGUCUAAUUUUUUGCAAAGAUGAUCUAUGGAUGUAGACUUAAAAAAAUAGAUAGUUUGGAUCGUUGAAAAAAAUUCCGUAUGGGACCCCAAAUGUAAAUGGUGUCACCAUAAAGAUUCAAGGACUUUAUAUACUGUUAUAAUGAUCUGAAGACCAAGUGAUCAAUACCUCGGUGGCUAUAAGUAUCAUUUCAACCAUAUUAGAUAACAUUUUGACCAGUAGCGGGGCCAGUAUUUCACAUUAGAGGGGGUCUUUCAUAAAAUUUGUCUUCUCUUCAUAAUUAUCAUGAAUUUCAUAUUUUAAAUUGGUUAAAUAUUAAUUUUAUCAUCUAAACUAUUAAAGACUUAAAAAUUAAUCAUUUAUAUUCCAACAGAUAAAAAGAAAUGGGGAAGAAAAAAGAGUUCAUAAAGUGCAAUAUUAAGGUACCCAACUCAUACGAAAAAAAAAUUAGGAAAAUAAAAAAUUAACAAAAGUUUAAAUAAAAUGUUAAAACUUUAGGAGUUUUUUGUGCAAAUAUCAUAAACUAGCCUCGAAGAUUUAAGGGAGAUAAAGAAAUUUUACAGUUUAUUUGUAUACAAAAAGAACAUAAUAUUUUAUUUUAUUUUAGAGUAAAUAUCCUAAAAUCAAUCUAAUAUAUUAUAAUAUUGUAUAUCAUAUAUAAUAUACAAAUAAAAUAGGUAAAAAUGGAGUGGGGACAUGGGACCACACUGGUCCCAUGCUGGCUUUGCCCCUGAUUCUGACUAUGUUUGAUAGAAUGGAAUAAGAAUACAUUUAUCAUGAAGACUGGGCAUCGUCUCUGCUAUUUCGAUUUCAACCAAAUAAAACUAGGGUUAAUUUCAAUUAGAAUGCUAAACUUUCACCCUUAAGGCACGUUUGUCUAUGCACUCUCAAAUUUAACAAUUAUGAAUUCUAAUCUUAUUAAUUUUUUGCAAUCUAGUUUAUGCAUUAACUUCACUAGUGAAAUUUCUGUUAAUUGCCCACGUGGCAGACUUGUGACCUACUUAUUCACUUCUUUUAAUGCUAGUUGAAGGGUAUUUUAGACAAUUGAUGUCAAAUGGGUUUGGGUGGGAAUUUUUUUAUUUGUGUCAAAUGGUUUGGGAGAGGAGACACCAAUUGCCUGAAAAUACCCUUCAAAUGACUUCAAAAGAAGUGAAUAGGUGGGACCUACCAUUGCCACGUAGGUAAUUAACAAAAUUUUUGACAUGUAAAGUUAAUGUUGGAACCAUAUUUCAAAAAAUUAAUAAGAUUAGGGUACAUAACUAUUAAAAUUGCAAGUGCAAACAUGCCUUAAGGGUGAAAGUUCAUGGUACUAAAUUGCCCAUUCAUAUUUGAGUGAUUUUGUAAAACUGAGAAAAGUAUUGGAAAAUUGAUUUGGUUGACGAAAGGCAGACAUCCUGGCGAAGAAAAGGGUACUGUAUUGUAGUCGGUUCUUUCAAUUAGGACCUUUUUUCCCUCUAAAAAAUCAUUAAGACUUUUGAACUAAUUAAUAAAUCCAUAUCAUUAAGCGAUGAUAUGACAUUGCCAUGUCACUUGGGAUCCAAUUGUCAAGUCACUUGAUACACAAAUUUAGUAUUUCUAGUAUUACCCUAAUUUAAUAUUUUGUCUCACGAUAUGUUGUUAAUAGUCGAUAUUAACAUUGCAACGUGUCCAGGUGGCAAUUCUCAUUUUCUUCCAAAGAUGAGGGUCUCAGAUCUUUCGGGGAGCGUAUUAUGAAUUUUCUUGUUAUGGUGCAAUAUGUACCACGAGUUCUUCGCAUCUACCUAUCAUGUAAGAAAGCUAGAAAACCUUUCAAAGGACAUAUCCCAUUAUGGCUUAAAGGUUUACUCAAUCUUUUUCUCUACGUUCUCGCUAGUCAUGUAAGUUUCACUUUAUCAUAAUUUAUUUAAUUUUAAAAAGUUCGCUUUCUUUAAAUAAAGGAUCAUAUUUUUCUCAAAAGUUCAAUCUAACAAGUUUGUUGUUUCUUUAGGUGCUUGGAGCGUUUUGGUACUUUUUUGCUGCUCAACAAAUGAUAAGUUGUUGGGAACAUGCAUGUCAAUAUGGAAAUGGAUGUGGCUCUACUACAUUUAAUUGUCACGAUCACCAAACGAUGAAAAAUAUUACAGUUCUAAAUAAUUCCUGCCCUAUAGAUCCACCAGAUACAACUCUCUUUGAUUUUGGUAUAUACCUAAAUGUCCUUCAGUCAGGUGCAUUGUGGUCAACAGACUAUCCCCUGAAGUUUUUGAACAGUUUUUGUUGGGGCCUGCGAAAUUUGAGGUUUGUACAUGUGAAACCAACGUAUACAUUGAUGCUGUUUUUUAAACUAGAGAGAUGGUUUUAGAUUUCCUUACAUUGAGCAAUUGAGAUUUGUAUAUAUUAUGUAUUCUGAUCCAUUUCAUGUUUGCAGUUCUCUUGCUUCAAAUCUCCAACCGAGUUUCUAUACAUGGGAAAUCGCCUUUGUAGCUUUUAUAUCUAUAAUCGGCUUGAUACUGUUUGUAUAUCUCAUUGGAAAUUUGCAGGUUGGUGCGGUGUAUAUAAAAAGUUCUCCUUAAGCUUAAAGCUCCUAAUUUGAUUUUUUUUUUUCCCUCAUUUAAUGAACUGAACCUUGUUGUUGUGAAGUAGACCUAUGUGCUUAUAGAUACUGAAAGGUUAGAGUCGCACAGACGCGAGAAUAAACUUAAACGGAAGAUUAAAGAAAAUGACCGAAAGGUAGAAUCAUGGUUAUCCGGCCAUGGCAUCCCCCUUAGCGAAAAGCAGAAGAUCAUGGAAGAGAUACAAAGAGAACUUGUUGAAAACUCGGAUUUUGAUGUGGUUAGGGAAAUCCUCUCUAUUCUUCCCCGCGAAUAUAUCAAAAGUUGCAGCCCAUUGAGUAGGCUGAGGAAGGUAGGUUCAUCGAAAACGCAUCGUAUUUAAAUUUUCUCCACCAUUAUUCGUAUCCAAUGAUGAUAUAUAUAUUAUAUUUUUAAUUGCUGAUUAUUUUUCUCAAAUAUUGUAUCUAUUUCUAGGUGCCACUACUUAAAGACAUGGACGAAGGAGUUUUGGUAGAAAUAUCUGAGAAGCUUCAUCCCAAGAAGUAUACUCCUGGACAAAUCAUUAUAAACAAGGAUGAAACACUUCAAAUGAUGCUUUUCAUCGUGGACGGAUGUGUAACCAUUGAUAAGAUAGAUUAUUCUCAGUUGGAACAUCUACGCCCAGGAGAUUUUUAUGGAGAGGAACUUCUAGUUUCCCCAUUGUGGACCUCGUCUGGUGAUGCAAAACCCAUAAACCAGUCUGUUCAAGCAAUUGAUGAUGUUCAAGCCCUUGUUCUCUCUGCCACAGACAUGGCGACCUUGAGCUUUAGUUCCAGGCGGCAUAUCAACGAGUUGCGCAUGGUGGUAACUAUUCUUCAGAAAGUAAGCUCCUCUCUAUUUAGAAGAUAUAUAAAAGAUGAAUAAUUGGAUUCUCACCUUCCAUCCUUGCUAGCUACUAACAUACAAUGACGUUACUUAUUUGUUUUAUAUAAUGUUCUCUUUAUGUUUGAGAAAUUAAUAAUGUGUCAAAUCCUAGGUGCCAAAACUUCAAACUAUGGAUAA